Molecule: ribosomal RNA, 460 nt
Filed under: uncultured bacterium
Lineage: Bacteria
Description: partial 16S ribosomal RNA
Rfam family: Bacterial small subunit ribosomal RNA
Source: RNAcentral
CCUACGGGGUGCAGCAGUGAGGAAUAUUGGUCAAUGGACGAGAGUCUGAACCAGCCAAGUAGCGUGAAGGAUGACUGCCCUAUGGGUUGUAAACUUCUUUUAUAUGGGAAUAAAAUGUUCCACGUGUGGGAUUUUGUAUGUACCAUAUGAAUAAGGAUCGGCUAACUCCGUGCCAGCAGCCGCGGUAAUACGGAGGAUCCGAGCGUUAUCCGGAUUUAUUGGGUUUAAAGGGAGCGUAGGUGGAUUGUUAAGUCAGUUGUGAAAGUUUGCGGCUCAACCGUAAAAUUGCAGUUGAAACUGGCAGUCUUGAGUACAGUAGAGGUGGGCGGAAUUCGUGGUGUAGCGGUGAAAUGCUUAGAUAUCACGAAGAACUCCGAUUGCGAAGGCAGUUCACUGGACUGCAACCGACACUGAGGCUCGAAAGUGUGGGUAUCAAACAGGAUUAGAUACCCCUGUAGUC